This 73-nucleotide transfer RNA is filed under the name Raja undulata (undulate ray). Its description in RNAcentral is "tRNA-Gln". It matches the Rfam family "tRNA". From Rfam's summary of the family: Transfer RNA (tRNA) molecules are approximately 80 nucleotides in length. Their secondary structure includes four short double-helical elements and three loops (D, anti-codon, and T loops). Lineage: Eukaryota; Metazoa; Chordata; Chondrichthyes; Rajiformes; Rajidae. The record is from RNAcentral.
UUAGGAAAUAGUAUAAAUUGGAAGUACAUGGAGUUUUGAUCUCUAUGGAGGAGGUUCGAGUCCUACUUUUCUA